RNAcentral lists this unclassified non-coding RNA (329 nucleotides) under plant metagenome. RNAcentral describes it as "partial contains 5.8S ribosomal RNA, internal transcribed spacer 2, and large subunit ribosomal RNA". The stretch from base 1 to 105 matches the Rfam family "5.8S ribosomal RNA", at positions 50 to 154 of the family's 154-position model. The record is from RNAcentral.
GAAAUGCGAUAAGUAAUGUGAAUUGCAGAAUUCCGUGAAUCAUCGAAUCUUUGAACGCACAUUGCGCCCUCUGGUAUUCCGGGGGGCAUGCCUGUCCGAGCGUCAUUGCGAACCCCUCAAGCACGGCUUGUGUGAUGGGCCCUCCCGCGUCUUGGUCGUCAAGACGGGCCCGAAAAGCAGUGGCGGCUUCGCGGUUAUCCGAUCAGCCAGAGCGUAUGGGGACUUUCUCUCUGUCACACGCCCGCGGCGCGGACCGACGCCUGUCGACCUCUAUUCAUCUUUUUCUCGGUUGACCUCGGAUCAGGUAGGGAUGCCCGCUGAACUUAAGC